Molecule: transfer RNA, 93 nt
Filed under: Exophiala aquamarina CBS 119918
Lineage: Eukaryota; Fungi; Ascomycota; Eurotiomycetes; Chaetothyriales; Herpotrichiellaceae
Rfam family: tRNA
About the family: Transfer RNA (tRNA) molecules are approximately 80 nucleotides in length. Their secondary structure includes four short double-helical elements and three loops (D, anti-codon, and T loops).
Source: Rfam by way of RNAcentral
UCGGGUAUGGUGUAGUGGUUAACAUUACUGUUUCUCAAACAUUAUUUGAUGUUUCUCACACAGUAGCCCCUGGUUCGAUUCCUGGUACCCGAA